UGUAAGCGUAUACCAAAGUUGUUGCAGUUAAAACGCUCGUAGUCGGAAUUUGGCAGUUCCGGAUGUGUGCACGUCGUGUGCGCACUUCGCGGGGAUUGCUUUUGUGGUCUUGCGUAGGAUGAGGCACUUUUAUUAGUGAACGUCCUCACGCAACCACUUUUUACUGUGAGAAAAUCAGAGUGCUCAAAGCAGGCAUUUGCCGUGAAUGUAUUAGCAUGGAAUAAUAGAAUAGGACUUGGUUCUAUUUUGUUGGUUUGUUGGGACUGAGUAAUGAUUAAGAGGGACAGUUGGGGGCAUUUGUAUUUCGGUGCUAGAGGUGAAAUUCUUAGAUUACCGAACGACAAACUGCUGCGAAAGCGUCUGCCAAGGAUGUUUUCAUUGA
This 382-nucleotide ribosomal RNA is filed under the name uncultured eukaryote. Its description in RNAcentral is "partial 18S ribosomal RNA". It matches the Rfam family "Eukaryotic small subunit ribosomal RNA", at positions 592 to 976 of the family's 1831-position model. The record is from RNAcentral.